AGUUGGUGGAGCGAUUUGUCUGGUUAAUUCCGAUAACGAACGAGACUCUAGCCUAUUAAAUAGUUCGCUUGUUGAUGCUGCAAGUGCAACUUCUUAGAGGGACAAGUGUAAUAUAGACACACGAGAUUGAGCAAUAACAGGU
This 142-nucleotide ribosomal RNA is filed under the name Metazoa environmental sample. RNAcentral describes it as "partial small subunit ribosomal RNA". It matches the Rfam family "Eukaryotic small subunit ribosomal RNA", at positions 1296 to 1461 of the family's 1831-position model. The record is from RNAcentral. Lineage: Eukaryota; Metazoa.